RNAcentral lists this unclassified non-coding RNA (248 nucleotides) under Hevea brasiliensis (rubber tree). Lineage: Eukaryota; Viridiplantae; Streptophyta; Magnoliopsida; Malpighiales; Euphorbiaceae. The record is from RNAcentral.
AGAAGACUAAGUUACUCUUGAUGAAGAGUAUUUUCUUAUGGUUCUUUUAGAAAUUAUUGCUAUUUAGUCGGAAUUUAGGAACAUGAUUUAAGAGUUUUAAGAUCUUUUGGUUUUAUUUUUACUUGGAUUUCAAAAACAUUAGUGCUAGAAUCCUAUAUGAUAUAUGUUACUAAUAUGAGCUGGCUCAUAUAGGAUUAUUUAUCUAAUUUUAUUUCUUUUGCACCUUGUGACUUGUGCUUAGGCUUCGG